This 484-nucleotide ribosomal RNA is filed under the name uncultured bacterium. RNAcentral's name for it is "partial 16S ribosomal RNA". It matches the Rfam family "Bacterial small subunit ribosomal RNA", at positions 30 to 507 of the family's 1533-position model. The record is from RNAcentral.
AUUGAACGCUGGCGGCAGGCCUAACACAUGCAAGUCGAGCGGAUGAAGGGAGCUUGCUCCUGGAUUCAGCGGCGGACGGGUGAGUAAUGCCUAGGAAUCUGCCUGGUAGUGGGGGAUAACGUCCGGAAACGGGCGCUAAUACCGCAUACGUCCUGAGGGAGAAAGUGGGGGAUCUUCGGACCUCACGCUAUCAGAUGAGCCUAGGUCGGAUUAGCUAGUUGGUGGGGUAAAGGCCUACCAAGGCGACGAUCCGUAACUGGUCUGAGAGGAUGAUCAGUCACACUGGAACUGAGACACGGUCCAGACUCCUACGGGAGGCAGCAGUGGGGAAUUUUGGACAAUGGGCGAAAGCCUGAUCCAGCCAUACCGCGUGUGUGAAGAAGGUCUUCGGAUUGUAAAGCACUUUAAGUUGGGAGGAAGGGCAGUAAGUUAAUACCUUGCUGUUUUGACGUUACCAACAGAAUAAGCACCGGCUAACUUCGUG